GUGUCUAUUCACGAAACCCACUUUACCAAAUAGUGUGACAUUUCUGAUGCCAUUAGAGUUACUCCAGACUCUUCAGAUAUGUAGGUGAGACCAGACUUCUGAUAACUCCAGAUCUAUACUGGAUGGAGGCAUCUCCAGGGGGCUAUGCAAGAUAUCACUGCAGUAGAGCAAAUCAUUAUUUUCUCUCCAAUGACAGUUUCAAAAAUGACAAACCCAAAGAUCACUUUAGACUGUGCAAUGGCUUUUGAGAAAAAACAUAUUACAGGCUAUCUGACAGCUAUCUUAACUUGA
RNAcentral lists this long non-coding RNA (291 nucleotides) under Dromaius novaehollandiae (emu). Its description in RNAcentral is "lncRNA (ENSDNVG00000018209.1)". The record is from RNAcentral. Lineage: Eukaryota; Metazoa; Chordata; Aves; Casuariiformes; Dromaiidae.